Molecule: transfer RNA, 74 nt
Filed under: Methanobacteriota archaeon
Lineage: Archaea; Methanobacteriati; Methanobacteriota
Description: Euryarchaeota archaeon tRNA-Lys
Rfam family: tRNA
About the family: Transfer RNA (tRNA) molecules are approximately 80 nucleotides in length. Their secondary structure includes four short double-helical elements and three loops (D, anti-codon, and T loops). Further hydrogen bonds mediate the characteristic L-shaped molecular structure. tRNAs have two regions of fundamental functional importance: the anti-codon, which is responsible for specific mRNA codon recognition, and the 3' end, to which the tRNAs corresponding amino acid is attached (by aminoacyl-tRNA synthetases). tRNAs cope with the degeneracy of the genetic code in two manners: having more than one tRNA (with a specific anti-codon) for a particular amino acid; and 'wobble' base-pairing, i.e. permitting non-standard base-pairing at the 3rd anti-codon position.
Source: RNAcentral
GGGCGUGUAGCUCAGCUUGGUAGAGCAACGGACUCUUAAUCCGUCGGUCGAGGGUUCAAAUCCCUUCACGCUCA